GAAAUGCUGAAGAUCUAAUCAGUUUGCCAAUCUUCAACUCUCCUGCACGUGGUCUGAGGUUGGAGCAGAAGAUCUGUACUGCGCAGAGAACACGCUUCAGACAAUGAAAAAUGAAGGAGCAACAAGCUGUUUCUUACAAGAGCAACAGGGACGGUGUAGCAUUUCUUGAAAGAAGAGAAGCAUUGGCAAUGCAAGGGAGAAAGUUUUGUUUUGAGCAGUGGAGAUAGAUGAAUCAGGACAAGGAGAGGAAGGGAAGGCAGAAGAAAAGCAAAGGAGAAUGGAGGGGUCUGAAAUGAAGGCAAUGUGAUUAGAAUUUUGAUGAAGAGGCAUUGACAAGAUGAAAGAUCUUUCUCUCUUUGCUCCCUCUCCCUCUCAUUUCCAGUGGGUAAAAUCUGUCCUGUUGACACACACUUGCUCUCUUUUUACAACACAACUCUGGAACAAAUAGGAUUCAUGAUCAAUGGUAGUGGCAUGGCCCCAGUGACAGAUCCCUGCCUGGGAGGAUGGCUAAGCAGCUGCCUCUCUUCCUCCUUCACU
Molecule: long non-coding RNA, 537 nt
Organism: Alligator sinensis (Chinese alligator)
Lineage: Eukaryota; Metazoa; Chordata; Crocodylia; Alligatoridae
Exons: 3
Source: RefSeq, a predicted model, not a curated record